Molecule: transfer RNA, 102 nt
Filed under: Schizophyllum commune Tattone D
Lineage: Eukaryota; Fungi; Basidiomycota; Agaricomycetes; Agaricales; Schizophyllaceae
Description: tRNA-Gln
Rfam family: tRNA
About the family: Transfer RNA (tRNA) molecules are approximately 80 nucleotides in length. Their secondary structure includes four short double-helical elements and three loops (D, anti-codon, and T loops).
Source: RNAcentral
GGUACUAUAGUGUAGAGGUUAUCACUCAGGAUUUUGAUGUACCAGGGCUCGAACCUGGGUUUUCACCUUCCUGAAACCCAGGUUCGAGCCCUGGUAGUACCU